UACAUAUUACAUGAUGUUAAAAUAUGUUAAAAAUGUUGUGUAUUGCAUGCAAUUCCUACAGACAUCAUCAACUACAACAUUUCCAUUUACAUGUUUAACAUUCUGAUCAAGUACAUCUCCUAACAAUGUAACGUAUAGCAUGAAUGUUUCAGAUUUCUUAUCAUCAAUUUCACAUUCAUUUACCCCAAAAGGAAAAAAUAAAUAAAUCAUUAAAGAUAGAAUGAAUAGUAGAUAUCUUGGAAUCAUUCAAAACUAAGGUCAAAUCUCUGCAAUUGGGAUUAAACUUCUCAAAGAAAUUAUAAGUUUUUGAGCUUUCUUUCUCUUGGUACAAAUUAAGAUGAGC
RNAcentral lists this long non-coding RNA (343 nucleotides) under Carica papaya (papaya). Its description in RNAcentral is "long non-coding RNA (CPAP_LNC004325)". Lineage: Eukaryota; Viridiplantae; Streptophyta; Magnoliopsida; Brassicales; Caricaceae. The record is from RNAcentral.